Molecule: ribosomal RNA, 499 nt
Filed under: uncultured bacterium
Lineage: Bacteria
Description: bacterial SSU rRNA
Rfam family: Bacterial small subunit ribosomal RNA
Source: RNAcentral
GAUGAACGCUAGCGACAGGCCUAACACAUGCAAGUCGAGGGGCAGCACAUGAGUAGCAAUACGAUGGUGGCGACCGGCGCACGGGUGAGUAACACGUAUGCAACCUGCCUGUAAGAGGGGGAUAACCCGGAGAAAUUCGGACUAAUACCGCAUAAUACCACGAGACUGCAUGGUUUUGUGGUUAAACAUUUAUGGCUUACAGAUGGGCAUGCGUAUGAUUAGAUAGUUGGUAGGGUAACGGCCUACCAAGUCUACGAUCAUUAGGGGUUCUGAGAGGAAGGUCCCCCACACUGGUACUGAGACACGGACCAGACUCCUACGGGAGGCAGCAGUGAGGAAUAUUGGUCAAUGGGCGAGAGCCUGAACCAGCCAAGUCGCGUGAAGGAAGAAGGUUCUAUGGAUUGUAAACUUCUUUUGCAGGGGAAUAAAGGACGGUACGUGUACUGUUUUGUAUGUACCUUGCGAAUAAGGAUCGGCUAACUCCGUGCCAGCAGCCGAC